CUUUCUGUUCAUUUUCAUGCACCGGAACCGGGCUCCGAAUGGCAUAUUGCAGUUGGUUUGAACAACUUUGAAGUGCAACCGUGGGAUACAACUUCAAAUUGACAGUCGAUAACUUUGAGAGGUGGACAGACAAAGAGUUGGAUCUUUGGCAUGGAAUAACCACAUACUCACAACUAUUGGUUUGUUUGUUGGUGCAUUGAGGUGUGCCCAGAGCAGAGGAAUUGUAAUGUGAGUUUGUAGCAUAUGUAUAUUUCUUUUUCCUUCCCACUCUUCUUCCUCGGGUCAUGAGCUAAGUGAGAGACUUUCACAUCCACACACACUUUAUAAAAGCUGCUUCUCCCAACGUAUAUAUAGGGCCCACAUUUUAACCUAA
Molecule: long non-coding RNA, 373 nt
Organism: Vigna unguiculata (cowpea)
Lineage: Eukaryota; Viridiplantae; Streptophyta; Magnoliopsida; Fabales; Fabaceae
Source: RefSeq, a predicted model, not a curated record